This 467-nucleotide ribosomal RNA is filed under the name uncultured bacterium. Its description in RNAcentral is "partial 16S ribosomal RNA". It matches the Rfam family "Bacterial small subunit ribosomal RNA", at positions 28 to 506 of the family's 1533-position model. The record is from RNAcentral.
GACGAACGCUGGCGGCGUGCUUAACACAUGCAAGUCGAACGGAAAGGCCCUGCUUUUGUGGGGUGCUCGAGUGGCGAACGGGUGAGUAACACGUGAGUAACCUGCCCUUGACUUUGGGAUAACUUCAGGAAACUGGGGCUAAUACCGGAUAGGAGCUCCUGCUGCAUGGUGGGGGUUGGAAAGUUUCGGCGGUUGGGGAUGGACUCGCGGCUUAUCAGCUUGUUGGUGGGGUAGUGGCUUACCAAGGCUUUGACGGGUAGCCGGCCUGAGAGGGUGACCGGCCACAUUGGGACUGAGAUACGGCCCAGACUCCUACGUGAGGCAGCAGUGGGGAAUAGUGCACAAUGGGCGGAAGCCUGAUGCAGCAACGCCGCGUGCGGGAUGACGGCCUUCGGGUUGUAAACCGCUUUCGCCUGUGACGAAGCGUGAGUGACGGUAAUGGGUAAAGAAGCACCGGCUAACUACGG